UUUACAACCACUGCAAAUGUCACACCCGCGAAGAACUCACUUGGGGGAUGGGACAAUCUGCGGAAAGGGCUUCCGAGGUGGCUCAGUGGUAAAGAACCCGCCUGCUGAUGCAGGAGACACAAGAGACGCAGGUUCAAUCCCUGGGUUGGGAAGAUCCCCUGGAGAAGGGCAUGGCAACCCACUGCAGUAUUCUUGCCUGGAGAAUCCCAUGGACGGAGAAGCCUGGCAGGCUAUAGUCCAUGAGGUUGCAAAGAGCUGGACACGACAGAAGCGAUGGAGCACACACGCAUGCGUGUUUAAAAGACGUGCCUACUCUGUAGUUCAGAAGGGGAGUGGGUGGCUUGGGUCGGAGCUCCUGGCGCUCGGGGAGGACCCGCUGAUGAGCACGGCUGAGAUGUCUCAGGCAUCUUCAGACAAGCAUGAGCGUCCGGGGAUGAGCCAGCAGUUCUCUGACAGCUGGGACAUGGCCAAGCUCAGGGAGGACGGUACCACAGCUGACCUCUGUGGGUGGGUGCCAGCCGAUCACCCUGCACGGCCUGCGAUGCUCCUUCCAGCCCGGCCUCGGCCACUGCGUCCAGGGCAGCAGCUUCCCCCCGGGAACAGAGAGACCGGAAGGGUAGGGCCCUGUCUCCCUCCCUCUAAGACAGCACACUCAUUCAGCUCCCUUCUUAUAUUUCUCCUCUCUUCUAUUAAACCUCCGCAGCUUGGACACCGGGGCUGGAAGGUUCCUGAGGUCGCCUGGCCCAGCCCUCCCCUGGUGCUUCAUCCGCUUGCACUCACCACCUUCCCAAAAUCAAUACAUAUCUCUGAGAAAAAAAACGAAAACUCAAAACUAACAACGUGCUUCUGGGCAAUAAACUUCCAUCCGCCAGUCACUUUCAUGCAGCUCCAGGCGAGGGGGGCGGGGGGGGGGGGGGGGCGACCUGACCAUGGGCCAUCGACCCCGGAGCACGGGGCCUGGCACCGAGUGACCCACGGCCACCCCAGCCUGAAGGUCGGGGAGCCCGGGAUCCCAGGCGUGAGGCAGGACAGCAAUGCGCAGUCUCUCCGGGCCACCCGGCAGGAACAGCGUCCCCAC
Molecule: long non-coding RNA, 1078 nt
Filed under: Bos indicus x Bos taurus (hybrid cattle)
Lineage: Eukaryota; Metazoa; Chordata; Mammalia; Artiodactyla; Bovidae
Description: lncRNA (ENSBIXG00000007620.1)
Source: RNAcentral